UGUGUGUGUGUGUGUGUGUGUGUGUGUGUGUGUGCGCGCGCGCACGCACACACAGACACACAGACACACA
Molecule: microRNA precursor, 70 nt
Filed under: Podarcis lilfordi (Lilford's wall lizard)
Lineage: Eukaryota; Metazoa; Chordata; Lepidosauria; Squamata; Lacertidae
Source: RNAcentral